GGCAAAGUGUCCGAGUGGUUAUGGAGCUGCGUUUAGGUAACCUGAACACAUAUUCCGCAGUGGCUUUGCCUCGUGGGUUCGAAUCCCACCUUUGUCA
RNAcentral lists this transfer RNA (97 nucleotides) under Friedmanniomyces endolithicus. RNAcentral describes it as "tRNA-Leu". It matches the Rfam family "tRNA". Rfam says of the family: Transfer RNA (tRNA) molecules are approximately 80 nucleotides in length. Their secondary structure includes four short double-helical elements and three loops (D, anti-codon, and T loops). Further hydrogen bonds mediate the characteristic L-shaped molecular structure. tRNAs have two regions of fundamental functional importance: the anti-codon, which is responsible for specific mRNA codon recognition, and the 3' end, to which the tRNAs corresponding amino acid is attached (by aminoacyl-tRNA synthetases). tRNAs cope with the degeneracy of the genetic code in two manners: having more than one tRNA (with a specific anti-codon) for a particular amino acid; and 'wobble' base-pairing, i.e. permitting non-standard base-pairing at the 3rd anti-codon position. The record is from RNAcentral. Lineage: Eukaryota; Fungi; Ascomycota; Dothideomycetes; Mycosphaerellales; Teratosphaeriaceae.